RNAcentral lists this ribosomal RNA (710 nucleotides) under uncultured bacterium. RNAcentral's name for it is "bacterial SSU rRNA". It matches the Rfam family "Bacterial small subunit ribosomal RNA", at positions 94 to 823 of the family's 1533-position model. The record is from RNAcentral.
GGCGGCGGACGGGUGAGUAACGCGGGGGUAACCUACCUCAUACACAUGGAUAACAUACCGAAAGGUAUGCUAAUACAAGAUGAUAUAAGAGAUUCGCAUGGAUUUCUUAUCAAAGCUCCGGCGGUAUGAGAUGGACCCGCGUCUGAUUAGCUAGUUGGUAAGGUGACGGCUUACCAAGGCGACGAUCAGUAGCCGACCUGAGAGGGUGAUCGGCCACAUUGGAACUGAGACACGGUCCAAACUCCUACGGGAGGCAGCAGUGGGGAAUAUUGCACAAUGGGCGAAAGCCUGAUGCAGCAACGCCGCGUGAGCGAUGAAGGCCUUCGGGUCGUAAAGCUCUGUCCUCAAGGAAGAUAAUGACGGUACUUGAGGAGGAAGCCCCGGCUAACUACGUGCCAGCAGCCGCGGUAAUACGUAGGGGGCUAGCGUUAUCCGGAUUUACUGGGCGUAAAGGGUGCGUAGGUGGUUUCUUAAGUCAGGAGUGAAAGGCUACGGCUUAACCGUAGUAAGCUCUUGAAACUGGGAAACUUGAGUGCAGGAGAGGAAAGUGGAAUUCCUAGUGUAGCGGUGAAAUGCGUAGAUAUUAGGAGGAACACCAGUAGCGAAGGCGGCUUUCUGGACUGUAACUGACACUGAGGCACGAAAGCGUGGGGAGCAAACAGGAUUAGAUACCCUGGUAGUCCACGCCGUAAACGAUGAGUACUAGGUGU